This 331-nucleotide unclassified non-coding RNA is filed under the name soil metagenome. Its description in RNAcentral is "partial contains 5.8S ribosomal RNA, internal transcribed spacer 2, and large subunit ribosomal RNA". The stretch from base 1 to 120 matches the Rfam family "5.8S ribosomal RNA", at positions 35 to 154 of the family's 154-position model. The record is from RNAcentral.
GAUGAAGAACGUAGCGAAAUGCGAUAAGUAAUGUGAAUUGCAGAAUUCAGUGAACCAUCGAAUCUUUGAACGCACAUUGCGCCCCCUGGUAUUCCGGGGGGCAUGCCUGUUCGAGCGUCAUUUCACCACUCAAGCCUCGCUUGGUAUUGGGCAACGCGGUCCGCCGCGUGCCUCAAAUCGACCGGCUGGGUCUUCUGUCCCCUAAGCGUUGUGGAAACUAUUCGCUAAAGGGUGUUCGGGAGGCUACGCCGUAAAACAACCCCAUUUCUAAGGUUGACCUCGGAUCAGGUAGGGAUACCCGCUGAACUUAAGCAUAUCAAUAAGCGGAGGA